ACAGCACAUGUCUGCAGACCUCAAACCCAGGGCAACCAGUUAAGCAUUCUCUGUAGUGUUCUUUCCCAGUCCUUAACUUAUUCUAAUAACAGCUGUUCUGCUAGAGUCUCGGUGAUUAACAGGGUGUCAAGCCACUCCUCCAGAACACUCCAGAAGAGUCUCCAGUGGGGUACCUGAUGGAUUCUGCGUCACAGAUGGCUUCUCCGUACAUCAAGUGAUAAGCGGCUGCCCUGUUUCCAUUUCUCCUGGUGUGAAACUUCACUCCCAGAGGCAUUGGAAGCUAAGAAAGGAGGGCAACGGGAGGAGCACUGUUGAGAAGACAGUGUUCAACAUCAUGCCAUAGUCCAGUUGUAUAAAGCAUUCAUUCAUUCCUUCAUCCAUUCAUCCAUCCAUCCACUCAGAGAUGUUGG
This 410-nucleotide long non-coding RNA is filed under the name Mus spicilegus (steppe mouse). RNAcentral describes it as "lncRNA (ENSMSIG00000030534.1)". The record is from RNAcentral. Lineage: Eukaryota; Metazoa; Chordata; Mammalia; Rodentia; Muridae.